GACGAACGCUGGCGGCGUGCUUAACACAUGCCAGUCGAACGGGUCUGCCCUGUUUUUUGCGGGGUGGGUCAGUGGCGAACGGGUGAGUAACACGUGAGUAACCUGCCCCUCACUUCUGGAUAACCGCUUGAAAGGGUGGCUAAUACGGGGUGUUCUGGCUGUGCCGCAUGGUGUGGCUGGGAAAGAUUCACUUUUGUGGUGUUUUGGUGGGGGAUGGGCUCGCGGCCUAUCAGCUUGUUGGGGGGGUGAUGGCCUGCCAAGGCUUUGACGGGUAGCCGGCCUGAGAGGGUGGGCGGUCACACUGGGACUGAGAUACGGCCCAGACUCCUGCGGGAGGCAGCAGUGGGGGGUAUUGCACAAUGGGCGGAAGCCUGAUGCAGCGACGUCGCGUGAGGGAUGGAGGCCUUCGGGUUGUGAACCUCUUUCGCCGGUGAAGAAGGUCCUGCUCUUUGUGGUGGGGUUGACGGUAGCCGGGUUAUGAAGCGCCGGCUAACUACGUG
This 500-nucleotide ribosomal RNA is filed under the name uncultured bacterium. RNAcentral describes it as "partial 16S ribosomal RNA". It matches the Rfam family "Bacterial small subunit ribosomal RNA", at positions 28 to 507 of the family's 1533-position model. The record is from RNAcentral.